This 433-nucleotide ribosomal RNA is filed under the name uncultured bacterium. RNAcentral describes it as "partial 16S ribosomal RNA". It matches the Rfam family "Bacterial small subunit ribosomal RNA", at positions 29 to 507 of the family's 1533-position model. The record is from RNAcentral.
AACGAACGCUGGCGGCAUGCCUAACACAUGCAAGUCGAACGAGACCUUCGGGUCUUGUGGCGCACGGGUGCGUAACGCGUGGGAACCUGCCCUUAGGUUCGGCAUAACUCCCCGAAAGGGGUGCUAAUACCGGAUCAUGUCUUCGGACCAAAGAUUUAUCGCCUUUGGAUGGGCCCGCGUUGGAUUAGCUAGUUGGUAGGGUAAAAGCCUACCAAGGCGACGAUCCAUAGCUGGUUUGAGAGAAUGAUCAGCCACACUGGGACUGAGACACGGCCCAGACUCCUACGGGAGGCAGCAGUGGGGAAUAUUGGACAAUGGGCGAAAGCCUGAUCCAGCAAUGCCGCGUGAGUGAUGAAGGCCUUAGGGUUGUAAAGCUCUUUUACCCGGGAUGAUAAUGACAGUACCGGGAGAAUAAGCUCCGGCUAACUCCGUG